CAGCAGCCGCGGGAAUACGGAGGGUGCAAGCGUUAAUCGGAAUUACUGGGCGUAAAGCGCACGCAGGCGGUCUGACAAGUCAGAUGUGAAAUCCCCGGGCUUAACCUGGGAACUGCAUUUGAAACUGUCAGGCUGGAGUCUUGUAGAGGGGGGUGGAAUUCCAGGUGUAGCGGUGAAAUGCGUAGAGAUCUGGAGGAAUACCGGUGGCGAAGGCGGCCCCCUGGACAAAGACUGACGCUUAGGUGCGAAAGCGUGCGGAGCAAACAGGAUUAGAUACCCCGGUAGUCCCUGUCUCUUAUAC
RNAcentral lists this ribosomal RNA (301 nucleotides) under uncultured bacterium. Its description in RNAcentral is "partial 16S ribosomal RNA". It matches the Rfam family "Bacterial small subunit ribosomal RNA", at positions 509 to 807 of the family's 1533-position model. The record is from RNAcentral.